RNAcentral lists this unclassified non-coding RNA (1187 nucleotides) under Hevea brasiliensis (rubber tree). Lineage: Eukaryota; Viridiplantae; Streptophyta; Magnoliopsida; Malpighiales; Euphorbiaceae. The record is from RNAcentral.
AAUAGGAUAGAGGAAUAUUUCCUACAUAGAGUGGAAUUCUUAUUUUAAUAUUAUUCCUAAAUUGAAGAUGGGAUCUAUUGGGUGUAAUUGGGUUGAUAAGUAAUAAGCUUUGAGCUUGUAAUUUAUUAUGGAAAAUGACAUGCCCGUAGAUGUAGUCCUAUGUGAAAGGAGUGAAUCACGUAAAUAAAUAUGAGUAUUUUGUGUAUUUACUUUAUUUAGCUUCCGCGGUGUUAUUGUGUGAAUAUUCAUGAGGGAAGUAAAUAAAAUAAUUAAGUUGAAACACUUGUGUUAGUGUGUAUGUAAUGUAGUGCAUAUGCAAAAGACUGAAAAAGACUAGCUUGGCAGAACUCUAUUAGCAUAUGAGGUGAUAAUCUCUGUUUGCCUAAUUAUAAGACGAAGGAGGUCAACCCAACAAACUAUAUAUGGCACCUCAACCACUCAUCCAAGUAAAGAACUACCAGUCUCAAUUUCUCAACCACCAGAACAAUCAUUCUCAUAUUCCACCUUAUUAAAUACUGAUCUACUACAUAGACCUUGCUGAUCCAAAACGCCAACCUUUCUUGUAGGAAUGAAAUGGGGGACUCAUUAGGUCACACCUCAAAUGACACUACUAGUGAUAUUAAUACUAAAGCCGAUGUAAAAAGUCAAGAUUCUUGGCCAGAUUUCUCUGAGGAUGAGGAGAGUCUCAUUGCUAGAAUGUUUAGAUUGGUUGGAAAGAGGUUUGGUUAUUUGUUUUGUUUUAAUUGGCUAAGAUUAUUGUAAAAGAACAGUGUAAUAUUGUUGGUCAUGUGUACUUUUUUAUUGUAGGUGGUCACUAAUUGCUGGAAGAAUACCAGGAAGGACAGCAGAAGAGAUAGAGAAGUACUGGACUUCAAAAUACAGCUCUUCAAGUGAAAGAUGAAUUUCAAUAACCUUGAACCUGAUGUUGCAGAAAGUUUGAUAAAUGGGUUUUGGUUUUUAUUUUUCUGAAACUGUUUAAGAUGGUGUGGUGUAACAUUUCACAUUUUCAUGUUCUUGAAGCUUUCUGAAACUUAGUAAUGGAUUGCUGUUGAAGAUGAUAAAUUCAAGUUUCUUUAUUUUGGAGUAUAUUUGUACAUUGCUACCUUGAUUUCUUGAACUCAUUUACAAUUUUGCUAGUUGUUUUGAAACUUUUGUCUUGCAUUGUAUUGUUCAUUUAAAUUUCUAAA